AUAUUAUAAUGAUUUUAUUUUUUAUUUGUAUAUAAUAAUGAUAAAUAUUAUAGUGAUUUUAUUUUUUAUUUAUAUAUAAUAGUGAUAAAUAUUAUAGUGAUUUUUGGAGAGACUUUGGUACGAAGAUGGUUCACUGUGUUUGGCAUGUGAAGUAUUUUCAUCCGUACGAGAAUACUUGAAAAGUGUUGAGAUAUCUUCGCUACCUAAACAUUUUUAAAGAGAGACAGCACUAGUGAAGUAA
Molecule: long non-coding RNA, 241 nt
Organism: Juglans microcarpa x Juglans regia
Lineage: Eukaryota; Viridiplantae; Streptophyta; Magnoliopsida; Fagales; Juglandaceae
Exons: 4
Source: RefSeq, a predicted model, not a curated record